RNAcentral lists this transfer RNA (77 nucleotides) under Halopelagius inordinatus. RNAcentral describes it as "tRNA_Pseudo_CCG". It matches the Rfam family "tRNA". From Rfam's summary of the family: Transfer RNA (tRNA) molecules are approximately 80 nucleotides in length. Their secondary structure includes four short double-helical elements and three loops (D, anti-codon, and T loops). Lineage: Archaea; Methanobacteriati; Methanobacteriota; Halobacteria; Halobacteriales; Haloferacaceae. The record is from RNAcentral.
GGGGCCGUAGCUCAGCGGACAGAGUGCUUGGUUCCGGACGUCAGGCCCGAUAGCGGGUUCAAAUCCCGUCGGGUCCG